UACGUAGGGGGCAAGCGUUGUCCGGAAUCAUUGGGCGUAAAGCGCGCGUAGGCGGACCUGCAAGUCGGGGGUGAAAGCCCGAGGCUCAACCUCGGAACUGCCUUCGAUACUGCGGGUCUCGAGUCCGGGAGAGGUGAGUGGAAUUCCUAGUGUAGAGGUGAAAUUCGUAGAUAUUAGGAAGAACACCAGUGGCGAAGGCGGCUCACUGGCCCGGUACUGACGCUGAGGCGCGAAAGCGUGGGGAGCAAACAGG
This 253-nucleotide ribosomal RNA is filed under the name uncultured bacterium. Its description in RNAcentral is "partial 16S ribosomal RNA". It matches the Rfam family "Bacterial small subunit ribosomal RNA", at positions 524 to 776 of the family's 1533-position model. The record is from RNAcentral.